AUUGAACGCUGGCGGCAUGCCUUACACAUGCAAGUCGAACGGUAACGCGGGGCAACCUGGCGACGAGUGGCGAACGGGUGAGUAAUACAUCGGAACGUGCCCAGUAGUGGGGGAUAGCCCGGCGAAAGCCGGAUUAAUACCGCAUACGACCUACGGGUGAAAGCGGGGGAUCGCAAGACCUCGCGCUAUUGGAGCGGCCGAUGGCAGAUUAGGUUGUUGGUGGGGUAAAAGCCUACCAAGCCGACGAUCUGUAGCUGGUCUGAGAGGACGACCAGCCACACUGGGACUGAGACACGGCCCAGACUCCUACGGGAGGCAGCAGUGGGGAAUUUUUGGACAAUGGGCGCAAGCCUGAUCCAGCAAUGCCGCGUGCGGGAGAAAGCCUCGGUUGUAACGCUUUGUCAGGAGAAUACUCCUGGCUAAUACUCGGGGGAGUGACGGUACC
RNAcentral lists this ribosomal RNA (445 nucleotides) under uncultured bacterium. RNAcentral describes it as "bacterial SSU rRNA". It matches the Rfam family "Bacterial small subunit ribosomal RNA", at positions 29 to 480 of the family's 1533-position model. The record is from RNAcentral.